AACCUGUCGAAAUUGGUGUUAGAGUUUUCACGAACGUGCGACUCAAGGUUCCCCGUUAACAGAGCGCGUGGUUUUGUUUCAGUGCCUCCUCCGUUGUCAUUGUCGACGAAGAAGGAACAAGACAAGGAAAAAAAAAGAUAGACGUGCUUUAAACAGCGAGAUCUUUUCGUGGAUCGACUUCGGUGGACCCCGACUUUUCCGCGUUACGCUUCUUAAGAGUCGAAUUACGUUGAACGCGGCAUUGAAGUUCCUUCAGUACAGAAAUAGGCAGAUAAAUGCAACUACUCGAAGGUCUGCUACACGCCGCACAGACGGAGUAAAUCUGCGAGCAAGAUUGACGGAAACAGGAAGGGACCGUCGCAGGGAGAAGCGUAAUAUUCGGCGCAGAAGUUCUCGCGGAACGGGAUGACUCAUCUAAUUGCACGUAUUCUAUCGGGAUUGAGAUUCUUUUGAUCGUGGCUGCACUCGAAAGGGACCUAGAUUUCGUGCGUGUAAGUUUGGAAAGCGUCGGCAUGAUUUAUUUCCUGCCGACGAGCUCGAUUACGAGCUUCCAAAUUCUAUUUCUCUUUCGACUCUUUCGCCUUUUUUAAUUAAUUCCAAGUUUCUUUCAUCUAUAAUUCAUGACACGUUAGAAUGUUUAGAUAUCGUAGGAACAGUGGCGAUACAAUUUUUCAUUUUACACUUACCAUACUUAUCCAUACGUCCGAAUCCUCUUAUGCAAUGAUAUCGGGUCGGUGGGAAAGUAAUGUCGAUUUCACGAGAAUAGAAUAAUAUUUCAUAAAAUAAAUUUGAAGUUGUUUAUCUUACCAAAAUCAAAAUCAAUAUAAAUUUUCCACCAACUCAAUAUAAAAGCGAGUAUAAUUUUCUACACGCAUAAAAAGGAAAUGGAGGAAAAAAAAUUCUACAGUGGAAUAAGAAAUUAUUAUACAACUGCCUCUAUGGACGAUUCUUCGAUUCGGUCUUCUGGAUAUUUUAUUCGUUUUAUUUUUCCUAUGUAUAUAUAGUUAUACAUAGAUAUAUAUAUAUAUAUUUGAUCAUGUCGUUACAUAAAUGUGCAAUUAGUGGCGCAGCUCGUGCGAACGAGGAAGCGAACGAAACUAGCAAAAAAUAAUCGUUUUAAAUAUAUUUCUAUCCCGCUUUUAGUUCGGUCAAAUCUUUGUUCGAGUAGUUCCGUUCACCUUUUCAUUCGUGUUCGCGAAAUAUUCACGUCGUCCAAAACCAAGGUCAAAAAUACGACGAACCAUUCGUUCGGCACGAUGCCUACUGCGCCAUUGCAAAUGCUCAUUAUUAGCUAUCAUCGAUCUUUUCCAGCGGUGAUCCGGUUUCAGAUAUUUUCUUUUUUUCUUUUUGUAUAUUUUUGGAAACAGCACGAUACAAAAAUGUUCCACUUAACAAUUGGAUUGGCACACGUGUUAAUUCAGCAAAUCAUUAAAAAUAGUCUUCCCUUCUCAAAUAAUUUUUUUAAAAUGGGCUAUAAAAAGGACUUGGGGGAAGACUUCUAGAUGCCAAACCAGUACCGGAAGCCGGCGGGGCCAAGCAACUGGUACUUCCAGCCUUCUUCAGGCCCAAUAGAGUAUUAGCUAUACUAGCCUUCAU
This is a long non-coding RNA of Apis laboriosa (Himalayan honeybee), 1596 nucleotides long. RefSeq lists it as uncharacterized. The transcript has 3 exons. Lineage: Eukaryota; Metazoa; Arthropoda; Insecta; Hymenoptera; Apidae. The record is from RefSeq and is a predicted model, not a curated record.